This 632-nucleotide ribosomal RNA is filed under the name uncultured Gammaproteobacteria bacterium. RNAcentral's name for it is "bacterial SSU rRNA". It matches the Rfam family "Bacterial small subunit ribosomal RNA", at positions 1 to 599 of the family's 1533-position model. The record is from RNAcentral. Lineage: Bacteria; Pseudomonadati; Pseudomonadota; Gammaproteobacteria.
UGGGCCCGACGUCGCAUGCUCCCGGCCGCCAUGGCGGCCGCGGGAAUUCGAUUAGAGUUUGAUCCUGGCUCAGAUUGAACGCUGGCGGCAGGCCUAACACAUGCAAGUCGAGCGGUAGAGAGGUGCUUGCACCUCUUGAGAGCGGCGGACGGGUGAGUAAUGCCUAGGAAUCUGCCUGGUAGUGGGGGAUAACGCUCGGAAACGGACGCUAAUACCGCAUACGUCCUACGGGAGAAAGCAGGGGACCUUCGGGCCUUGCGCUAUCAGAUGAGCCUAGGUCGGAUUAGCUAGUUGGUGGGGUAAUGGCUCACCAAGGCGACGAUCCGUAACUGGUCUGAGAGGAUGAUCAGUCACACUGGAACUGAGACACGGUCCAGACUCCUACGGGAGGCAGCAGUGGGGAAUAUUGGACAAUGGGCGAAAGCCUGAUCCAGCCAUGCCGCGUGUGUGAAGAAGGUCUUCGGAUUGUAAAGCACUUUAAGUUGGGAGGAAGGACAUUAACCUAAUACGUUAGUGUUUUGACGUUACCGACAGAAUAAGCACCGGCUAACUCUGUGCCAGCAGCCGCGGUAAUACGAAUCACUAGUGAAUUCGCGGCCGCCUGCAGGUCGACCAUAUGGGAGAGCUCCCAA